This 1462-nucleotide long non-coding RNA is filed under the name Mytilus galloprovincialis (Mediterranean mussel). The record is from RNAcentral. Lineage: Eukaryota; Metazoa; Mollusca; Bivalvia; Mytilida; Mytilidae.
GUCACGAGUGGGGGAGUGCUCCUAUUAAAUUUAUUCACUUUUACGUCACAUAAGUCGUGUUUAUUCCACUUUACCAGUUAACCUUUUGGCCAUGAAGGGUUAAGCAUAGUAAAAUCUUGUUCUGUACUUUACGGUAAUUUAACCGUAAUUUGAAUAAAUAGGUUAUGUUUGUAAACAAACUGUAAUCAUGAAUCAUAUAUUUUCCACGAAUGUCCCAAACAGAAUGUUGAUAAUCAGCGAUUUUUCAAAAGAUGUGUUGACAGUUCACGUACAGUUUAAAUUUAGGGACACAUCUGUUAUGAUACGAUAUUUAAAUAGUUAUUUGUUUGUCAGUACUUUAUUAAGGAUUGUAAGUCUUUAUUUAAAUAAACAACGGAAGUUUCAAACCCUCCAUAGUGUCACGAUAAAAAAAAAGAUUAGGACAAAAACAUCCGCCAAUCUUAUAUUCAAUGCAUCGAUCCACAGACACAUAUAGUGCAUUGUCUCGCGGUUUAUUAUAUUCUACGGGUCCUCAAAAAGUUUCAAUGUAAUUUCCUUCUUUAUUACAAUUUUACGUUACUUAACGUGUUCAGAACAUCCUAUAAUAGUGGUUAUCUCUAUAAUUUUAUUAGCAAGUGCCGAUGGGCAGUACAGACUGUCCCAACAUAAGAGAGAGAGAAAAAAUUUUAAAAGGAAAAAAAAAUAAGUAUUAUGUUGAAAUAUCUUCAACAAAGAAAAUAACAAAUUGGAGGCAUUGCUACCAAUAGCUUAUAGACGCAGAAAAAAGAAACAUUUUGUUUACGACCGCGAUUUGAAAUUGAUUUAGUACUAUUUUCGAUCGCGAUUUGUUGCGUAAAAAUCAAAGUACAAUCUAGCUUACAAUCACAAACGUUAGUCUGCUCAAUAAAUUUUCGACAAAUAAAGGGUCAUAACGUUAAAGGUUAAUGUCCUUUCACUAAGCUAGGGUAUCUUAUACUUUGGGGUUAAACAGAUAUUACGCAAACAUUUUUUUAUUAUUGAAUUGUUGGUUAUGCUACCGGGUUGUCACCGUUCGACAGGUUAGACUUAUGGUAAGUUCCUGUCUGUUAUGUCUGUUUGCCUGGCGGGAUUUACAAAUUCAUAGACAUGAUAACUCUAAUGGGGACCAUUUAGUACAAGCUACUACCAAUAAUUGGUAUUGUCAUAUACUUAAAAUAAUACAUUUUGAAGUGUUCAUAUAAUGAGGAUUUUCUAACCCAGGAUAAAGAACCUAAGCUGUAUUUGGCAUAACCUUUCGAAAAUGUUGGCUCUUAAUGCUCUUCAACUUCGUACUGUAUUUGACCUUCCAACUUUUUUUAAUUCAAGUGCCACUAAAAGAGGGGCGAAAGAUACCAGAGGGACAUUCAAACUCAUAAGUUGAAAAUAAACUGACAAUGCCAAAUGGCUAAAAUAAAGGACAAACAGACAAACAAUAGUACAGUUAACACAACAAAGAAAGCAAAAC